Molecule: ribosomal RNA, 253 nt
Filed under: uncultured bacterium
Lineage: Bacteria
Description: partial 16S ribosomal RNA
Rfam family: Bacterial small subunit ribosomal RNA
Source: RNAcentral
GACAGAGGCCUCAAGCGUUAGGCGGAAUCACUGGGCUUAAAGCGUGUGUAGGCGGGUCGUUAAGUACCUUGUGAAAUCCCACGGCUCACCCGUGGAACUGCUGGGUAUACUGGCGAUCUUGGGCCAACUAGGGGCAACCGGAACAAACGGUGGAGCGGUGAAAUGCGUAGAUAUCAGGAGGAACACCGAUGGCGAAGGCAGGUCUCUGGGCUGACACUGACGCUCAUGCACGAAAGCGUGGGGAGCAAACAGG